Molecule: transfer RNA, 85 nt
Filed under: Felis catus (domestic cat)
Lineage: Eukaryota; Metazoa; Chordata; Mammalia; Carnivora; Felidae
Rfam family: tRNA
About the family: Transfer RNA (tRNA) molecules are approximately 80 nucleotides in length. Their secondary structure includes four short double-helical elements and three loops (D, anti-codon, and T loops). Further hydrogen bonds mediate the characteristic L-shaped molecular structure. tRNAs have two regions of fundamental functional importance: the anti-codon, which is responsible for specific mRNA codon recognition, and the 3' end, to which the tRNAs corresponding amino acid is attached (by aminoacyl-tRNA synthetases). tRNAs cope with the degeneracy of the genetic code in two manners: having more than one tRNA (with a specific anti-codon) for a particular amino acid; and 'wobble' base-pairing, i.e. permitting non-standard base-pairing at the 3rd anti-codon position.
Source: Rfam by way of RNAcentral
GCCUGGGUGGCUCAGUCGGUUAAUCGCCUGACUUCGGCUCAGGUCAUAAUCUCACGGUUCAUGGGUUUGAGUCCCAUGCCAGGCU